Molecule: small RNA, 544 nt
Filed under: Trichoderma asperellum
Lineage: Eukaryota; Fungi; Ascomycota; Sordariomycetes; Hypocreales; Hypocreaceae
Description: eukaryotic LSU rRNA
Rfam family: 5.8S ribosomal RNA (bases 159-312)
Source: RNAcentral
AUGUGAACGUUACAAACUGUUGCCUCGGCGGGGUCACGCCCCGGGUGCGUCGCAGCCCCGGAACCAGGCGCCCGCCGGAGGAACCAACCAAACUCUUUCUGUAGUCCCCUCGCGGACGUAUUUCUUACAGCUCUGAGCAAAAAUUCAAAAUGAAUCAAAACUUUCAACAACGGAUCUCUUGGUUCUGGCAUCGAUGAAGAACGCAGCGAAAUGCGAUAAGUAAUGUGAAUUGCAGAAUUCAGUGAAUCAUCGAAUCUUUGAACGCACAUUGCGCCCGCCAGUAUUCUGGCGGGCAUGCCUGUCCGAGCGUCAUUUCAACCCUCGAACCCCUCCGGGGGAUCGGCGUUGGGGAUCGGGACCCCUCACACGGGUGCCGGCCCCUAAAUACAGUGGCGGUCUCGCCGCAGCCUCUCCUGCGCAGUAGUUUGCACAACUCGCACCGGGAGCGCGGCGCGUCCACGUCCGUAAAACACCCAACUUUCUGAAAUGUUGACCUCGGAUCAGGUGGGAAUACCCGCUGAACUUAAGCAUAUCAUUAACCGAG